AAUUGGCAGAUAAAAGGGAUAUGCAAUCCAUCCCCUGCUAGUCAGUUGUGUCACUCACUUUGCUCACACCAUGUGUUGAUGCAUUGUGAGUAAGAACCCAAAAUCUUGUCCAUAGAGUCAGUCACUUGUGGAGAAGAGUUCCUACAUUCUGAACUCCCACACUUUCUAUUUGAGUCAAGCUCUCCCAGGCCAGGGAUAAGAGCUGUGAGGUCU
RNAcentral lists this long non-coding RNA (213 nucleotides) under Lathyrus oleraceus (garden pea). Its description in RNAcentral is "Pisum sativum (pea) long non-coding RNA (PSAT_LNC001595)". The record is from RNAcentral. Lineage: Eukaryota; Viridiplantae; Streptophyta; Magnoliopsida; Fabales; Fabaceae.